This 89-nucleotide transfer RNA is filed under the name Xylariaceae sp. FL1651. RNAcentral's name for it is "tRNA-Arg". It matches the Rfam family "tRNA". Rfam says of the family: Transfer RNA (tRNA) molecules are approximately 80 nucleotides in length. The record is from RNAcentral. Lineage: Eukaryota; Fungi; Ascomycota; Sordariomycetes; Xylariales; Xylariaceae.
GGCCGCGUGGCUUAAUGGCAUAGCGCUUGACUACGAUCAUAACAUAGUGUGUAAUCAAGAGAUUCUGGGUUCGAUCCCCAGCGUGGUCA